This is a long non-coding RNA of Oryzias latipes (Japanese medaka), 2313 nucleotides long. RefSeq lists it as uncharacterized. NCBI's taxonomy places the organism in Eukaryota, Metazoa, Chordata, Actinopteri, Beloniformes, Adrianichthyidae. The record is from RefSeq and is a predicted model, not a curated record.
AGCGCCCGCCUACCCCAGACAGUGGCAGCCAAUCAGCUUUCCGAGCGCUUCAUUGUGUCGACCCACUGUCCAAUCAGCGGCUUUCAAAUCCGCAAGUAAGCCAAUAGUAAGCGAAUACUGCCCCUCCUGUUUUACUGCAGAAUUCCGCGUCUUGCUACCCGCAGCAUCGAGAGUCUAGGCUGAAAUUUUGUGUAACGGACGAACAAGGUGAAAUGCCUGAUAACAGAGGUAAAGAAAGAAGAAAAAGCUCAUCCGUGCACAUCGUAUGUGUCAGCACUGCAGGCUCCAUGUCUGCUUGACUGGAGAGGAGAGGAGACAUCUUUUUUUCGAUUGAACCAGAAAUGAGAGAGAACAACACUGGCUCAACGAUGAAAGAGUUUGGCCUCUCCUUGGUUUCCACAGGCCUCCUCCACCCUCAACCAUCACCUCUUUAAUUGCUGGAAGCCUCUCUUUCUUCCUCAGUCACAGCCCAUGCCCCUCAUCUUCUCCUCCCCCUCUGCCAGUUGGUCCAUGUUUCCCACUUUCACGGGCGCCUGAACAGUGCCACUUACCAUGGAGCCUACGCUUGUGCCUUUCUCGUCCUCCUGCUCCCCCAUCACACAGCGUGUCCUUCUGGCCUGGUGUUGACAUUAUGGUAAGGCGUGUGUGCAACAUACUCACCAACCAAGCUAUCAGCAUACAGCCAAACAUGCUCAUCAUUGUCAUACACAUGAUGAUGAUGAUGAGUCUCCUCCAGGUUUGUCCAGCAGAUCAAGUUGUUAGUGACUUAAAAUAAGCACUUCAGAUGACGGUACAGUUGCAUGUUACCAUCCGUUUGGAGUACCAAGAGACAGGGUCACUCAGCAAAUCACUUUCCUGCAACUGAGCUCAGUUGUUGCCUCCAACCCCCAUCUUUUCUCUCUCCACCAGAUUCUCUCAAUCCCCGUCUUCUUCUCUAUUUUUAACCAGCUUAGCAGGCCUGAAGGCAGGGCAGGUUUAUUCUCUGCCUUCUUGUUACCUGGCUGACAAUUCAGAAAAGUCUGAUAAUCCUAUAACUCUGGAAGAGCUGAGAACACUUGCAGCUUGCCCAGUAACACUGCAGUCCAGCCAAAAAACUGUUUCCUAGUAGAAAGAAUGAGUUUAUUUAUAAGGUAUUUGAUCUACAGGAAUACUUGGAACCUCCAUUCCAAACUACGGACGUCAGUAAUCAGUGGCAUUUACAGCAGAGAUGGCACAGAUCAGCUCUAGUGGACAUGAUGGUAUAUAUGGAGUAAGUAAUUUCAAUCCAGUAUCAGUCAAAAUGUCAAUUAUAUGCCACAACCCUAUUUAAAAUGCAGGAUCUGCAAGAGCUCAGAAUUAGAUGUGUGCGGGGAAAAAAAGUCAAAAUUAGAAUUAUACCCAAUAAUGGAUGGGAAUUUUUUUCACUUAACUAACAAAAGUGACCAACUUCAGUAUGUGUUCAGUUUUUUUUAACUGCAGCAUCAAUCCACAGUGUAGCUAUGGAGCAAUCUGCAGAGUCAUAGUAGGCUGAUCAGGCCUCACCUUCAUAUGCAGCACCAUGACACACAGCUAAUACAGAUAAGCUUGGAGACCAAAUGUUUCACACAUGAGUGCACAAGGUAUAUAAUCCGGAAAUUCUACAUCUGCAGGAAAGCAUGUUUGGAUCCUUCCAUGUGGUGAGUGUACUGGAAAUAAAUUGCCCUGGUCUACAAGUGAACUUUGUGUGCAGGAGGCCUGUUUGUAUAGAGAAGGAAGAAAUGAGCUUUAGAUGAGUCAGACAAGAGAAGGGAGGCUGGGUACAUCAUGAAUACAGGCACUGCGAUGCUCACUGCACUCCCGCCAUUUCCAUUAAUGACCUCUAAUGGCAUGGAGUGACGAUGGUUUUCGCAGCAACAGAGUGCAUCCGUUUCUAAUAGAUGGUUUCUAUAUAAUGCAUGUACAUGUCAAAUGCUGCUGUAAGGUUCAUUGCUCUUAUUCUGGGCUCACACUCCUCCCUUGUGGUGAAACAGUGGAACAACAAAUGCAAGAGCUUAAACACCAGCAAGUGUAUUUGGAUUAAAUUGAAACAUUUUUAUUGAAUCAAUCGGUUCAAAAAUACAUUUGUAGUUAAAAAGAUUAAAAUGUCAUAUUUCAAGUUAAAAACAAACAAAACCAAAACAAAUAAAACCCCAUGCCAAGGAAAAGAAAAAAAAUGGACGAUUUUUGGCACCAAUACAUAAAAAAGCCUUUAGAAAUUAAAGAAUAUUCUCAACAAAAUGAAGUGGUUUACCCUUAAACGUUAUAACACACUAGAGACUAGUAGACUUUCUGUCAACUACUGUUUGUGUUUAAUCC